Long non-coding RNA from Bactrocera oleae (olive fruit fly), 1697 nucleotides. RefSeq lists it as uncharacterized. The record is from RefSeq and is a predicted model, not a curated record. Lineage: Eukaryota; Metazoa; Arthropoda; Insecta; Diptera; Tephritidae.
UCUCUAACUUAUAACUAAGGCUAUUAAUUUCAAUACCUAAUUAAAGACUCAUAAUAUUGCUCUUGGUUAUAAUUAAAAACUAAGUAUAUGAAAAUUGAUUGACUAGGUAACGUUUCAUAUCUAUAUGGUAAAGUCCCGAAUACGAUACCCAGGGAUAUGUACAACGUAUAUUUCGUCUCUUCCUUCUUUAGAUAGAGUUUUACCAAGUGCUGCAAAUUUUUGCACCAACCCACACGAACCUUUUAUGGAGUUCUGUUUGUUGUUGUAUCGGCAGAAAACAUUCCCAAACAAGUAAAGAAUGAAAGAAUAAUGUCACAAUAUUAGCAGAAAAAGAUAAUCUUUAAACGCAUACAUAAUAUAGAAACCACAAGUUUGUCAAAUUCAAUUAAAUCAAUAAAAUAUCGUGUACUAACUUGCGCAGUUGCAUUCGUACAAAGAGUUUGAGCGAUAGUCUUUUUAUCACAUUUCGUGAUUUGCUGACGAAAAUCAACAUAAAGGAAGUGAUUGACUGCCAGUGGGGCUUCUCAGCGACUCUAAGAUAAACUCAUCAUGACAGCGGUAACUUCACUUCUUUGCGCAUAUAUACAAUAAAUAUUAGACAUGUAGGUAUGUACCUAUGUAUAUUGUAAAGGCGUCUGAGUGUUAUUUCUAAGUGAGUGAGUUUUGUUCUCACUGCGGUAAAAUGUCACCGUGAUAACUUUAUCAUUUGACAUUUGAUUAUGUGUCAUGUUGACAUGUGAAUGUGAAACGGUGAUUUUCUGUCCCUCAAUCACUCAGUAACUUGGCGGAAUGGUUGAUUGCGGUUUGCCGGUGCUGUGGUGUUGCGGUGUCUGCCAAAGAUGAUAAUUUUGAAAGAGGUGAAGAAAGUAAGAUGUGGAGAUGGAUGCCUGAGAAGACAGUUGCUAAGAAAAAUUAUUUAAGAAGCUGUAGUUUUUCCUUUUCAAAGGUUAAACGAAUUUUCGUUGCAAUUAUGAAAUAUCGUCAGAAGCGAUCGGGCUAACGCUAAUUAUAAACAGGAAAAUCGUAAUGACAGGGGACAGAGAUAUACAAAAUACACUUGCUUUUACACACACACAUACACAUUUAUAAACUAUAUACCGUUCUGCAAACCAACAGGCGAUAUACAAAAAAAAAUGUGAAUACAACAAAAAUAAUUAAAACUACAUGAGAAAAAUAUGGCAAGGACAUUAAGUGCAAUUAUUGCAUGGAUACUACAGUCAAGUCAAAAAAAACCACUACAUUUGUAAUAAACGCUCCGAUACAUGCCCACAAAUAUAUGUAAUAAUAAUUAAAUGUGUUGUUAUUGGUGAUAAAUGAUAAUAAGCUAGGUAUUUAAUGCGGGUUUGCUGUACAACAUAAUUCUUCCGACAUCUGCUCAUAAUAAUUUACAGCCACACACCGGGCAUUUGAAACGGCAGUUGUAAGAGUUUUUAGAAUUUUCUUUAAAUAUGGUUUGAUAUUUAUAUGCGUUUACAGUGGUUAGUAGAUAAGGCAACCUUGGAUAAGAAUGAAUCGAACGCACAAUUAGUAAAGAUAAAACAUACUGGCAUAAUUAAAUAAGGACAGAAUAGCAAGCGGUUACCAGUUUUAGCUUUUAUAGUGAUAAUAUAAUUUUUUUGGCGAAUGCAAUGGAUAUAAUACCAGUUUAGCAUAAAAUCACAUGAACUUUAAUAUAGACUAAUCUAGUUAGGUAUUGA